This 1519-nucleotide ribosomal RNA is filed under the name metagenome. Its description in RNAcentral is "bacterial SSU rRNA". It matches the Rfam family "Bacterial small subunit ribosomal RNA". The record is from RNAcentral.
AGAGUUUGAUCCUGGCUCAGAACGAACGCUAGCGGCGUGUUUGAUUCAUGCAAGUCGAGCGAGAACGCUCCUUCGGGAGCAAGUACAGCGGCGGACUGCUGAGUAAUACACCGGUAACCUACCCGCGAGACCGGAAUAACUUCGCGAAAGCGUGGCUAAUGCCGGAUAUUAUGCCCCACCGCCUGGUGGGGUCUGAAAGGGUUUCCCUUCGGGGUCUCCGCUCACGGACGGACCUGUGGCCUAUUAGCUUGUUGGUGGGGUAACGGCCCACCAAGGCAGAGAUGGGUAGCCGGCCUGAGAGGGCGAUCGGCCAGACUGGGACUGAGACACUGCCCAGACUCCUACGGGAGGCAGCAGAGGAGAAUCAUCCGCAAUGGGCGCAAGCCUGACGGUGCGACGCCGCGUGGACGAUGAAGGCCUUCGGGUUGUAAAGUCCUGUCAGAGGCCAUGAACGUGAAGCGGUUAAUAGCCGUUUCUUUGACCAGCCUCAAAGGAAGGUCCGGCUAACUUCGUGCCAGCAGCAGCGGUAAUACGGAGGGACCCAGCGUUGUUCGGAACUACUGGGCAUAAAGGGCGUCUAGGCGGACCGAUAAGUCGGGUAUGAAAGCCCUGGGCUCAACUCAGGAACUGUGCCCGAUACUGUCGGCCUUGAGUGUAGAAGGGGAGAGCGGAACUCCUGGUGUAGCGGUGAAAUGCGUUGAUAUCAGGAUGAACGCCGGUGGCGAAAGCGGCUCUCUAGUCUACUACUGACGCUGAAGCGCGAAAGCUAGGGGAGCGAACGGGAUUAGAUACCCCGGUAGUCCUAGCCGUAAACGAUGGGCACUAAGUAGGGGGAGUACCGAUACCUUCCCUGCUGAAGCUAAUGUGAUAAGUGCCCCGCCUGGGGAGUACGACCGCAAGGUUAAAACUCAAAGGAAUUGACGGGGGCCCGCACAAGCGGUGGAGCAUGUGGCUCAAUUCGAGGCAACGCGAAGAACCUUAUCCUGGGCUUGACAUGCUGGUGGUACGAACCUGAAAGGGGGAGGACCUUACAUUGUGAGGAGCCAGCACAGGUGCUGCAUGGCUGUCGUCAGCUCGUGUGGUGAGAUGUUGGGUUAAGUCCCGUAACGAGCGAAACCCUUGCCCUUAGUUGCCAGCGCGUAAUGGCGGGGACUCUAAGGGGACUGCCGGUGUCAAACCGGAGGAAGGUGGGGAUGACGUCAAGUCCUCAUGGCCUUUAUGUCCAGGGCUGCACACGUGCUACAAUGGCCGGUACAGAGGGAAGCAAUACCGCGAGGUGGAGCAAAUCCCAAAAAAACCGGUCCCAGUUCGGAUCGGAGGCUGCAACUCGCCUCCGUGAAGUUGGAAUCGCUAGUAAUCGCGGAUCAGCACGCCGCGGUGAAUAUGUUCCCGGGCCUUGUACACACCGCCCGUCAAGCCACGAAAACCGGGGGUGCCCGAAGUCGUCGAUCCAACCUCUUUUAGAGGAGGAAGACGCCGACGGUAGACCUGGUGAUCGGGACUAAGUCGUAACAAGGUA